RNAcentral lists this long non-coding RNA (1199 nucleotides) under Ficedula albicollis (Collared flycatcher). RNAcentral's name for it is "lncRNA (ENSFALG00000025697.1)". Lineage: Eukaryota; Metazoa; Chordata; Aves; Passeriformes; Muscicapidae. The record is from RNAcentral.
CUCAACCCUCCUGAAAGGAUGAUCCUCAGGUUGGUACAUCUUUUCUUAUCAUGGUGAGCUAUCCCCAAAGGCUUCAGUGGUCCCACCAUGCCCUAGUACCCAUGUUAAUCCUUUGUAAUCCAUUGGUCUUCCCCCUUGGUACCAUGUUGAGAAGGAUAAGGAUGUGACAGGAGGGUCUCACAGAUAUGUAUGCAUAACAGGAAGAUCUUUGCUUGUGUAGAAUCUGAAGAAGGUAUAGAAAUGAUAGCAAGUUUUGAUAUAGAAGAAGAUAAUUGCUGAGCCAGUUCUACUGGGUAACUAAGAGGGCAAAGAGCAAGUGAGUUGGAAGGGGCUUUUAUGACUUAGAGCAAAGGAUAAAUCCACCUCAAAUAAAAGAUGUUUUUACCAAGCAGAAGGAUUUUCACAGACAAACAAAAAUACCAUGUUGCAAGUAAAGAAAAGAUCUCAGAAUCUUCCACUGCAAGAAAACUGAAAAACAACUUCUAGCUUAAACAUACUAACUUUUGGUGAGUGGGAAAUAGUAACAUUAAUAUGGUAAUGUUAGUAGUUAGGAUAGGCUAUAGGUAAUAGUCAAGGUGUUGAUUGGUUGUUAUGUAAUAAGAUGCACAGCAGAGUGAGAAAUAUAACACUUUGUAACAUGAAUAGAACAUGAGCUUCAUGAUAGAUAGUUUGCCUAUAGAUGUCAGCUAUAAGCCCACCUAGGACCCGCAACUACUGUAACCUCGUCUAUGCAAUAAACAGCAUCUUGAGAGCUGUCUGAAGUCUCCAUCUCUCCAUCUGGCUCUUACAGUACUACCCUUGUUUUCCCCCAUAAACCCCCCAGUUUUUCCUCCAGUUCUCUAGGGAGCUGUUGUCCCUGGCUCCCUUCACAGAGCUGCUACAUAAUAAAGGAAUCGCCAUGUGUUGCUUCUGUCUCUCUGUCCCUGAGUUGGCCUGGGAAGCCUGGGCGCCGGCUGUCAGACGCGGCGAAAGCUGCGCAGGUCCGGCACUUGCCCCUCGCGGCGUCGAGAAGUGGCAAGUUGGUUUGGUUUGGUAUUUAUCUGGUAUUUAGUCCUUUUUGUUGUUUGUUGUAUGUGGUAUGCUUGAUUCUGUUAAACUGUCAAUAUCGAUUGUGGUUAUUGUUGUUUUGUAUAUUGCUGUUUAUUGGUUGAUACGAUUGCUCGUGGAAUCAGUGUUUAGGUGUCUGUAAGUUUUGCUGC